This 259-nucleotide ribosomal RNA is filed under the name uncultured bacterium. RNAcentral's name for it is "partial 16S ribosomal RNA". It matches the Rfam family "Bacterial small subunit ribosomal RNA", at positions 1247 to 1500 of the family's 1533-position model. The record is from RNAcentral.
AAGCAAGACCGUGAGGUGGAGCAAAACUCAAAAACUUGUCUCAGUUCGGAUUGUAGGCUGAAACUCGCCUACAUGAAGCUGGAGUUGCUAGUAAUCGCGAAUCAGCAUGUCGCGGUGAAUACGUUUCCCCGGGGCCCUUGUACACACCGCCCGUCACACCAUGAGAGUUGGCAAUACCCAACGUACGUGAUCUAACCCGCAAGGGAGGAAGCGUCCUAAGGUAGGGUCAGCGAUUGGGGUGAAGUCGUAACAAGGUAUC